AUUGAAGAACUCUGUGGACAGAGGAACAACGAAACUGAAGCUUCUGUUCAUCUUCUUCUGCUGUUGAAGAUGGGAGCUGUUAGAAGCUUCAAAUAUCUCGGAUUUGAUAAUCAACUGCCGUUUAUUGCCAAACCCCCUUACAAUUUCUCUUCCUUCUUCCCAAUUAUUCAGACCUAAUUUUGGCGUUAAAUAUGGAAAUUUUACACUUCCCAGAUCGUCUUCGGUCGCCGUUCGUAGUGUUAGGAGGAAAUAAGGGGGCGGAGCAUUGUUUUAGGGUGAGAAUACAAAGAAAUGGAACAAUCCUCUUCAAUGGAUUGCAAUUAGGAGUUGGGCAUUAGCUCUUUUAAACGAGCAUUCUUGUUGAUAGAUUAGCAAUGGUUUCUUUGAAGAGUCUCUCAUGCUUAUGCAUAUGUAAUUAAUCUUAUACCAUUACAGGGCAAUUAUUAUGGGUGAUUACAACAUAGUAUAUGAUUUAGUAUUUGAAGGGUUACAUUAUCCAACAUGUUCAAAUAUUGCUCCAUUCAGUUAAAAUACGUGGUCGAUUAGCUUACAUUAUUUUUACAUAUCCAAGCAAAUUCCCAAGUAAAUUCGAUGAGGCGUCUUGCUCACAGGAAGGUGUUGUUGACUUGAAGCUCCCAAGAAGGCGUUUGUUAGUAAGUUUUACGUGCGAUGGCUGUGGUGUGCGGUCGCAGAGGUUAAUUGUUUAUGUGCAGGAAACUAUUCAAUAUUAAUUCAAUCCAGCAAGCUGCAGUACUCGAGAAUUUGUCUAACACAAUCAAAUAAAUAUUUUCUCGACUGUGUCAGGUAUUUCUCCAAGUCAUAGGUUAUUCUGUUUCUACCAGAUGCUUAGAACAUCUAAAUCCAGAAAAUAUUUUUGUUACUUUUUUCUUCUAGAUUUAUUAUUAUUGCUCUAAUUUUUUGGCCAGAUAUAGAUUGACUAUUUUAUCGAACAGUGUUCAG
Long non-coding RNA from Salvia splendens (bonfire salvia), 960 nucleotides. RefSeq lists it as uncharacterized. The transcript is spliced from 3 exons. NCBI's taxonomy places the organism in Eukaryota, Viridiplantae, Streptophyta, Magnoliopsida, Lamiales, Lamiaceae. The record is from RefSeq and is a predicted model, not a curated record.